UCCCUCUCAGGGUCGGACCUGGAGAGUUUCCAGUGCUCUACCAGUCUCAACUACGGGAGAGAGAGUCAAGCAGAGGCCUGUCUAUUCCAUUCCCAGCUUGGGCAGUGGCUAGCGAGUGGAAGGCAAUCUGCUACAAGU
RNAcentral lists this small nucleolar RNA (138 nucleotides) under Ornithorhynchus anatinus (platypus). Lineage: Eukaryota; Metazoa; Chordata; Mammalia; Monotremata; Ornithorhynchidae. The record is from RNAcentral.